This 396-nucleotide ribosomal RNA is filed under the name uncultured bacterium. Its description in RNAcentral is "partial 16S ribosomal RNA". It matches the Rfam family "Bacterial small subunit ribosomal RNA", at positions 523 to 918 of the family's 1533-position model. The record is from RNAcentral.
AUACGUAGGGAGCGAGCGUUGUCCGGAAUUACUGGGUGUAAAGGGAGCGUAGGCGGGAGUGCAAGUCAGAUGUGAAAUACAUGGGCUCAACCCAUGGGCUGCAUUUGAAACUGCAUUUCUUGAGUGAAGCAGGGGUACGCGGAAUUCCUGGAGUAGCGGUGAAAUGCGUACAGAUUAGGAGGAAAACCAGUGGCGAAGGCGGCCUGAUGGAGCACAACAGACGACGAGGCGCGAAAGCGUGGUGGGUAGACAUGAAGAUAGACACUGUACGACCACGCUGUAAGCGAGGAAGAGGAGGUGUGGGGGGAGUGACCCCCUCCGUGCCGCAGUCAACGCAAUAAGUAUUCCUCCUGGGGAGUACGAUCGCAAGCUUGAAACUCAAAUGAAUUGGCUGGG